UACCAGGAGUGGGGUUCGAACCCACGCAGACAUACGUCCAUUGGAUCUUAAGUCCAACGCCUUAACCACUCGGCCAUCCUGGU
This 83-nucleotide transfer RNA is filed under the name Cricetulus griseus (Chinese hamster). Its description in RNAcentral is "tRNA-Leu". The record is from RNAcentral. Lineage: Eukaryota; Metazoa; Chordata; Mammalia; Rodentia; Cricetidae.